AAUUGCCACAAUAAAGACCAGCCUCAACUAAAAAAGAUGGAAGAUGCAUCUCUGGACUUUUCUGUUUCCUUCUGGAGAGUCCUGAACUUGACACCAGGAAGAUGUGAAUUUUAAUCUCACUCUUACAUUUUUUGGAGCAAGUAACAUAACCCUUUGGAGCCUCUCUUUCUUCCUCUGUAAAAUAGAGAUAAUACUCAUAUUUUCUACCCCAAGGAUUGUUGGGAGACUCACUUGAAGCAAUGUAUGUAAAAUGCUUUGCAAAGUUUAAAGAAUUAUAUUAAUGUUUGUUAUUCUUGUAUUCAGGGCUAGUGGCUCAUUCAAGGAUAUUAUAAUGCACCAGAGUAACUGAGGGAACUAACAUAAGGAGAGUGACUGGACUUGGGUCUUCUUUGUAAGGUCCUAGACAAAGAAAUUCUCUCUACCAAUGCAGAUUUCCUUUGGGCAAUACUUCUUUCCCCCAUUGACUCCACAGAGGAAGACCGGCAUAAACAGACAUCUGGCAAAGAGAAAAUGAUUUUAGAGUUCCAUUUUGAGGAGGCAGCACACAGUAUUGGAAGGGGUGCUGGCUUUGGAGCAGAGGUCAGAGGUUUUGUGUCUCAUCUCUGUUAUUUGCCACCUGUGUAGUCCCAGGUAAGUCACUCUUCCUUUUUGGAAAUUGCUUUCCCCAUGUAUAAACAGAGAUGUUCAGGGUCCUUUAUGACUUAAAAAUGACCUCAGAUCACCUGUUUCCUGCCCUAGUCUUCUUUUUACUUUCUCAUACCCAACACUCUUGUGCUGAGGUAUAAACAAUUCUAGACCUGGGCUCUUCCUUUUUUUAGAGGGAGAAGUAAAAUUGGCUGAAACAGCAGACUCUCAAAGUCUUGAUUGACAAUGAUCCCAAGAAUCUUGCUCCCCUUUCAAUAGAAGAAUAUGGAGGGGGCAGCUGGGUGGCCCAGUGGAUUGAGAGCCAGUCCUAGAGACGGGAGGUUCUAGGUUCAAAUCUGACCUCAGACACUUCCCAGCUGUGUGACCCUGGGCAAGUCCCUUAACCCCCAUUGCCUAGACCUUACUGCUCUUCUUCCUUGGAGCCAAUACUGAAACAAUAAGAGGUGAAGAUAAUAAGAGGUAAGGGUUAAAAAAAAAGAAAGAAUAUGGAAACCAUUUCCUGCCUUGGUAUUUAGGUCUCUAUUUAGAGUGGGAGCACAUGUAGCAUUGUACAGGAAAUUAUGGGGGAUGAUGACAAACUUUGAUGCCUUAACAGUAUUGGAAAGAGCCUUCAGGGCACUUCUGAAGCCCUUUACUAAGGUCAUCCUCUGUCCAAAGGAAAAAGUGUGUAUAUUGCUGACCUACUAAAGAUUUGGAGAAUCGCUCCAUUGUUCCCGCUGUAUCUGGGGCUGGAUAAGUGGGGAGAUGAUCCAAAGGUAUGACUGGAUUUCAGCAGUGGUCAAGUGCUUAUUGCCUGCAUGCCGGGGUUCUGAGCUG
RNAcentral lists this long non-coding RNA (1461 nucleotides) under Monodelphis domestica (gray short-tailed opossum). Its description in RNAcentral is "lncRNA (ENSMODG00000041232.1)". Lineage: Eukaryota; Metazoa; Chordata; Mammalia; Didelphimorphia; Didelphidae. The record is from RNAcentral.